CCACAGUGAAACGGAGAUAAAAACCUUUUCCUGUUGUGCUUUAGUUUUUUUAAACACAAGUGAAACAAUGCCUCGAGUUCCUAUUGUUUGCUGUCUGCUGGGAAGCACACGUUUUAGCCAACAAACACAGAAAUUAUUGGAGACCUCAAGCGGCUGCCAGAGCCAUCCUAGAUAGAUUCAGCUCCCCGCCCCAGCCACUGCUCAUCAGGCCCGUUACUUGGAAAGCCCUUAACAGCAGCACGAACGGCCAGGCCCAAGAACCCAACCCGAUUUCAUCUCACUGCUUUUACCUUCUGGGCAAUUACGCUCUGCGGGUAAAGCUGUGACAUCUGGGUGACUCUCUUGGGAUCAGUUUUACUUCACACCACUGAGAAUUAUGCCCCUGUAGGAGCUGCGGGAUUGGCCCCACAUCUCAUAAAAGCAGCUCUUCAUUUCUGUCUCAAGGCCAUUCAGCAGCCCUAGCAGGUUUCAUCUAUUGGUCUUGUUAAGUCCACUUUGACCAUACGCGUAGCAGCAGAUGAUCCUCCUCGGAGCCCUGCCAAGAAAAUCUGUGGUCUGGGUACAUUGCUGGAGUUCUCAUGCUUAGUCUGGGUGCUGACGUCUUUUGGCAAGUACACCUGGGUGGAGUUCUCCCUUCUCAGAUGGCUGAGAUCAGUCUGCAUGGCAUGAGUUAACUUGCGACGCAAAUUGGCCUAAGGACACAAAAAGAAUCAAAAUUUUGUUUGAACAUUUUAGCAACAUUUGCAUAUUGUACCUCUACGGGCUUCACAAACCUGUAAUGUUGCACGCUUCUUCCUACCUUAAGUUCAUUGAAACUAACCCCUGAAGCUAACAGAAUGUGUGAACAAAACUGUAUGCAGCCCCACAAUUUUAAAAUUUUAAGUUUUUGUUAAAUGCUAAAGAUUUUGUUUUGUUAGAAUGAAAUGUCAUUUUCAUGUUAAGCUCUGCCAGGGCUUCAGGUUUAUUUCAAUCAGUUGGAAAGUACACUGAAUGCAGUGGAAGGCAGAUUAACCUCCUGGUAUCUACAAGCUAAAACAAAUCUGAAGAUCCCAAACUUUGUGGACAAUUAAACUACAGGAUCUAGCCUUUGGUUUCUACCAAACAUGAUGAGAUCUGGUCGUUGGUGUCACAGAGUAUCAAAUAAAAAGGCAAAAAUGCCUUCUUUCCAGGCAUUACUUGUUAGUCCCUUGGCAAGUGGCACAAGAUAGGUAAUUUAUGAUGGUAGUAAUAAAGCCCUGUUUAAUCAUAGCAACUGCUGUAGAUAGAACAGUAUCACUUAUGAAGUGUUAAUAUUACCAAAUCAGCAGUUAAAACAAGGAAAUGUAUGCUCCUUCUUCCAUAUCAGCAAUGAUAAAAACCACUUCAAAUUGCACAACGUAUCGUUAUCACUGAAAUACACAAAAUACAGCCUCAUGUGGUGGGAUUCUGGCCCCUACUUGUAAGUGAGAAAGUCCCCGAGUGUGCAGUCCCGACACUGGAGUCUGAAGUCCAAGUCCAUGGAGUGAUUAAGUUGGCCUGAAACUGGCUGUUUGUGUCAGGAUAAGCCAAAACACCCUCCAGGCUCCACCAGUUAGAUCUAUACUGACUGUAAUGGAAGUUUGUCUACAUGUUGACACAAUUCGGUACAUUAAUCUACCACUGAAUCUUACGCACUGUGUCACAGGAAAAUACAGAAAAGAAUAAUGAAUUUACAGAAAAAAUGUGAUGGAAAGAAAGAAUAUUUUAUUAUUAGUUUUUCUUUUUUUUUUUUUUUUUCCAAUAAAGGGUUUUGCUGACAAUUGAAA
Anas platyrhynchos (mallard) is the source of this 1784-nucleotide non-coding RNA. The record is from RefSeq and is a predicted model, not a curated record. NCBI's taxonomy places the organism in Eukaryota, Metazoa, Chordata, Aves, Anseriformes, Anatidae.